This 618-nucleotide ribosomal RNA is filed under the name uncultured Alphaproteobacteria bacterium. RNAcentral describes it as "bacterial SSU rRNA". It matches the Rfam family "Bacterial small subunit ribosomal RNA", at positions 28 to 692 of the family's 1533-position model. Lineage: Bacteria; Pseudomonadati; Pseudomonadota; Alphaproteobacteria. The record is from RNAcentral.
AACGAACGCUGGCGGCAGGCCUAAUACAUGCAAGUCGAGCGCGCCCUUCGGGGUGAGCGGCGGACGGGUGAGUAACGCGUGGGAAUAUGCCCUUCUCUAAGGAAUAGCCUCUGGAAACGGAGAGUAAUACCUUAUACGCCCUUUGGGGGAAAGACUUAUCGGAGAAGGAUUAGCCCGCGUUAGAUUAGGUAGUUGGUGGGGUAAUGGCCUACCAAGCCUACGAUCUAUAGCUGGUUUGAGAGGAUGAUCAGCCACACUGGGACUGAGACACGGCCCAGACUCCUACGGGAGGCAGCAGUAGGGAAUCUUAGACAAUGGGGGCAACCCUGAUCUAGCCAUGCCGCGUGUGUGAUGAAGGCCCUAGGGUCGUAAAGCACUUUCGCCAGAGAUGAUAAUGACAGUAUCUGGUAAAGAAACCCCGGCUAACUCCGUGCCAGCAGCCGCGGUAAUACGGAGGGGGUUAGCGUUGUUCGGAAUUACUGGGCGUAAAGCGCACGUAGGCGGAUUAGUAAGUUAGAGGUGAAAUCCCAGGGCUCAACCCUGGAACUGCCUUUAAUACUGCUAGUCUUGAGUUCGAGAGAGGUAAGUGGAAUUCCGAGUGUAGAGGUGAAAUUCGUA